AUGAAGAAGACCGCCGCGGUCCCGAGGAGCGGCGUCCAGCACCUAUUGAAUGGGGGCGACGAGCCGACGAGGUCAAGCUGGCCAGAGCUCGCAGCGUCGUGGCCGAGGGCUGCCAGAUCUGCGGGCCAACAAGAUGGAGACGGGAGUCAAAAGGACAUUUUCGUGUCAGGAGGAAAAGCUAAGGGGCUGGGUGAUGUUGCUGGACCAGGGAGAGAGAUGAGGGUGGAACUGCGCGCCGGAUCGACGGGCGAUGGCGGGAUUGGCGCAUGGUGGCGGACUGGCGGGGAUGGGGGAAAGAGAAGGAGCGGCGUGGGAGGUUUCAUCAGAGGGAAAAGGGGGUGA
This 342-nucleotide ribosomal RNA is filed under the name Triticum aestivum (bread wheat). RNAcentral describes it as "partial small subunit ribosomal RNA". Lineage: Eukaryota; Viridiplantae; Streptophyta; Magnoliopsida; Poales; Poaceae. The record is from RNAcentral.